Molecule: ribosomal RNA, 305 nt
Filed under: uncultured bacterium
Lineage: Bacteria
Description: partial 16S ribosomal RNA
Rfam family: Bacterial small subunit ribosomal RNA
Source: RNAcentral
CCCUACGGGGGGCAGCAGUGGGGGAUAUUGCACAAUGGGGGGAACCCUGAUGCAGCGACGCCGCGUGGGUGAAGAAGCGCCUCGGCGCGUAAAGCCCUGUCAGCAGGGAAGAAAAUGACGGUACCUGAAGAAGAAGCCCUGGCUAACUACGUGCCAGCAGCCGCGGUAAUACGUAGGGGGCAAGCGUUAUCCGGAUUUACUGGGUGUAAAGGGGGCGCAGACGGCGAUGCAAGCCAGGAGUGAAAGCCCGGGGCCCAACCCCGGGACUGCUCUUGGAACUGCGUGGCUGGAGUGCAGGAGGGGCG